Molecule: ribosomal RNA, 253 nt
Filed under: uncultured bacterium
Lineage: Bacteria
Description: partial 16S ribosomal RNA
Rfam family: Bacterial small subunit ribosomal RNA
Source: RNAcentral
UACGUAGGGGGCAAGCGUUGUCCGGAUUUAUUGGGCGUAAAGAGCGUGUAGGUGGCUCUAUAAGUCAGAAGUGAAAGCCCCGGGCUUAACCCGGGAAGUGCUUUUGAUACUGCAGAGCUUGAAUGUGGGAGAGGAUCGUGGAAUUCCAGGUGUAGUGGUGAAAUACGUAGAUAUCUGGAGGAACACCGGUGGCGAAGGCGGCGAUCUGGCCCAACAUUGACACUGAGACCCGAAAGCGUGGGGAUCAAACAGG